GUUUGCCCAGCCUAAGGACUUGAGAAAAACAAAAAUAGGAUCCAGACAGAUUGGGCUUCACACCAAGAAUGUUGGAAAUAAAGCCUCAGCCCAAAGAAAGCCCAAAUGCGGAAACUUUCGAAAUAGGCUUCAAAGAUCAGCCCGUAAUUUUUGUUAGGUUCAAAACCCAAGGGAUCAAAGACACAUCCACGUGAUUGCCUCAACUUUGGAAAAGUCAGCAAUUCCAACUAAAGUUUAAAAAUGUGAGAAGGACGUCUCUGAAACACUGCCAAUUGAAGAUCAAAAACCCAUCUGUGUUCGAGAUUUUGCUCCAAAUCAAUACACCAUCUCCCAAGGAAUUCACGGAUCACGCUUUCUAAAUUAGAACGGGAAACAGAGAACCACUCAGAAAAUACAAAAGAAAGAGAGCCAAACCGCCAUAAAAAGCCCACACAGACGGUGGCGUUGGUUAAAUUAGAAAGCUGCCACCCAGGAAACCAGGGAAGGGACUGUUUUAGGAGGUGACUGCUCAGAACCUAUCUGCCUUGAUUGAUAAGAAACCCUUCUUACUUUACAUUAUAAGAGAUCUU
Molecule: long non-coding RNA, 569 nt
Filed under: Prunus persica (peach)
Lineage: Eukaryota; Viridiplantae; Streptophyta; Magnoliopsida; Rosales; Rosaceae
Description: long non-coding RNA (PPER_LNC004786)
Source: RNAcentral